Molecule: long non-coding RNA, 249 nt
Filed under: Trifolium pratense (red clover)
Lineage: Eukaryota; Viridiplantae; Streptophyta; Magnoliopsida; Fabales; Fabaceae
Description: long non-coding RNA (TPRA_LNC009950)
Source: RNAcentral
AUUUUGUACAGUUUGUCUAGUUGUUCCAUCGUGAAUGAAAGCUGAAUUGAAGAAAACCGUUGCGCUUGAUCAGAAUUACUGGCUUGGAAUGUAUGACCCUCACCUCCACCUUUGUUCUUCUGAUUUGAAGUUCGCGGAAGACCAUGUAAUUUCCAACAUUGGAAAAUAGUAUGUCCCAAACGAUGACAAUAUUUGCAUUCACGACGAUAUUUGAAAGAGGAUGAUCGUCGUCGAGAAUAAAAAAACGGC